This 270-nucleotide ribosomal RNA is filed under the name uncultured bacterium. RNAcentral's name for it is "partial 16S ribosomal RNA". It matches the Rfam family "Bacterial small subunit ribosomal RNA", at positions 28 to 293 of the family's 1533-position model. The record is from RNAcentral.
GAUGAACGCUAGCUACAGGCUUAACACAUGCAAGUCGAGGGGCAUCACGGUGUAGCAAUACACUGGUGGCGACCGGCGCACGGGUGAGUAACACGUAUCCAACCUGCCGCAUACUCCGGAAUAGCCUUUCGAAAGAAAGAUUAAUGCCGGAUGGCAUGUAAAUUCUGCAUGGGAUUUACAUUAAAGAUUCAUCGGUAUGCGAUGGGGAUGCGUUCCAUUAGCUUGUUGGCGGGGUAACGGCCCACCAAGGCGACGAUGGAUAGGGGUUCU